This 629-nucleotide unclassified non-coding RNA is filed under the name Scedosporium boydii. Its description in RNAcentral is "sequence contains 18S rRNA gene, ITS1, 5.8S rRNA gene, ITS2, 28S rRNA gene". The stretch from base 215 to 368 matches the Rfam family "5.8S ribosomal RNA". The record is from RNAcentral. Lineage: Eukaryota; Fungi; Ascomycota; Sordariomycetes; Microascales; Microascaceae.
AGUCGUAACAAGGUCUCCGUUGGUGAACCAGCGGAGGGAUCAUUACAGAGUUACUACUCCAAAACCCAUUGUGAACCUUACCUAUGUUCUGUUGCCUCGGCGGCGUGGUCAGCGCCCCCUCUGAAAAGAGGACGAUGCCCUCCCGCCGGCAGCACCAAACUCUUGAAUUUUACAGCGGAUUACAGUUCUGAUUUGAAAAGAAAAAACAAGUUAAAACUUUCAACAACGGAUCUCUUGGUUCUGGCAUCGAUGAAGAACGCAGCGAAAUGCGAUAAGUAAUGUGAAUUGCAGAAUUCAGUGAAUCAUCGAAUCUUUGAACGCACAUUGCGCCCGGCAGUAAUCUGCCGGGCAUGCCUGUCCGAGCGUCAUUUCAACCCUCGAACCUCCGUUUCCUCAGGGAAGCUCAGGGUCGGUGUUGGGGCGCUACGGCGAGUCUUCGCGACCCUCCGUAGGCCCUGAAAUACAGUGGCGGUCCCGCCGCGGUUGCCUUCUGCGUAGUAAGUCUCUUUUGCAAGCUCGCAUUGGGUCCCGGCGGAGGCCUGCCGUCAAACCACCUAUAACUCCAGAUGGUUUGACCUCGGAUCAGGUAGGGUUACCCGCUGAACUUAAGCAUAUCAAUAAGCGGAGGA